AUUCCAGCUCCAAUAGCGUAUAUUAAAGUUGUUGCAGUUAAAAAGCUCGUAGUUGGAUUUGUGGCAGUCGCGUGCGGCCCGGCAUUCGUGCCGGUGCUUGCUAGCGUCGCCAUCCUUGGGUGGAACCUGUGUGGCAUUAGGUUGUCGUGCAGGGGAUGCCCAUCGUUUACUGUGAAAAAAUUAGAGUGUUCAAAGCAGGCUUAUGCCGUUGAAUAUAUUAGCAUGGAAUAAUAAGAUAGGACCUUGGUACUAUUUUGUUGGUUUGCGCACCAAGGUAAUGAUUAAUAGGGACAGUUGGGGGUAUUCGUAUUCCAUUGUCAGAGGUGAAAUUCUUGGAUUUUUGGAAGACGAACUACUGCGAAAGCAUUUACCAAGGAUGUUUUCAUUAAUCAAGAACGAAAGUUAGGGGAUCGAAGAUGAUUAGAUACCAUCGUAGUCGUCA
Molecule: ribosomal RNA, 442 nt
Filed under: Nitzschia aff. leavis NE-2015
Lineage: Eukaryota; Bacillariophyta; Bacillariophyceae; Bacillariales; Bacillariaceae
Description: SSU rRNA
Rfam family: Eukaryotic small subunit ribosomal RNA
Source: RNAcentral